Molecule: long non-coding RNA, 705 nt
Filed under: Anneissia japonica
Lineage: Eukaryota; Metazoa; Echinodermata; Crinoidea; Comatulida; Comatulidae
Description: uncharacterized LOC117101713
Source: RNAcentral
AAAAAAAAAACAAAAAAAAAAAAAAAACAUGACAUCGAUAGGCCGUUAUUAAUGGAGCUACUGUAAGUACUGGCGAAGAUGGACACGAAAACUUAAAAUUCAAUAUCCAUUAUCAGAUCACCAGUCCUGAGCUGCAGUAUGUGCUACCUGCCAACAUACCAGUACUUUCUAUGGAGGCAUUAUAAUAAUUUUGAUCGGUUCUUGAAUAUGGUCUUGUGCAAACAAUUGUAUUUUCAAGCCUUGAAACUUGUUUAACAACACUUAAAUCUAUUCUGAACAACUUUGUUUCCUGACUUCAUCUGAACUGGAUCAAAAAGUACUAAGAAGUUUCAAAAGCUCAAGAUUGUCAAAAUCGGGCCAGUUUGCAGAAUUCUGAAAUGCGAGGAUGCAACUAGAUGUGAAAAAAAGGAGGCGAUUGAAUACUUUCUUAAUAACCUUUGUGAAAACUAUGAGGGAAAAAGGCAUUCGUACUUCUGUUACUAUGAUUCAUGGUGAAACUAUUGACGAUUCUAAUUGAUACACUCUUGCAUGGACCCUAUCAAUUUGAGGAUAUUCAUAAUCUGUAAAAACGUUAAAUAUGUGAUAUUCCCAAUGCGAUCAAAAUGAUGGAAUAUUCUUACUUUCCAAGGAGCUGGAGAAAUUGAAUUGUAUAGUUACUAAGGGACAUUAAGAAAUUUUGAUUUCAUUUAUCACUAUUUGUAUUUG